RNAcentral lists this ribosomal RNA (770 nucleotides) under uncultured Bacillus sp. RNAcentral's name for it is "bacterial SSU rRNA". It matches the Rfam family "Bacterial small subunit ribosomal RNA", at positions 571 to 1339 of the family's 1533-position model. Lineage: Bacteria; Bacillati; Bacillota; Bacilli; Caryophanales; Bacillaceae. The record is from RNAcentral.
GCAGGCGGUUCCUUAAGUCUGAUGUGAAAGCCCCCGGCUCAACCGGGGAGGGUCAUUGGAAACUGGGGAACUUGAGUGCAGAAGAGAAGAGUGGAAUUCCACGUGUAGCGGUGAAAUGCGUAGAGAUGUGGAGGAACACCAGUGGCGAAGGCGACUCAUUGGUCUGUAACUGACGCUGAGGCGCGAAAGCGUGGGGAGCAAACAGGAUUAGAUACCCUGGUAGUCCACGCCGUAAACGAUGUCGACUUGGAGGUUGUGCCCUUGAGGCGUGGCUUCCGGAGCUAACGCGUUAAGUCGACCGCCUGGGGAGUACGGCCGCAAGACUGACACUCAAAGGAAUGGACGGGGGCCCGCACAAGCGGAGGAGCAUGUGGUUUAAUUCGAAGCAACGCGAAGAACCUUACCAGGUCUUGACAUCUCCUGACAACCCUAGAGAUAGGGCGUUCCCCUUCGGGGGACAGGAUGACAGGUGGUGCAUGGUUGUCGUCAGCUCGUGUCGUGAGAUGUUGGGUUAAGUCCCGCAACGAGCGCAACCCUUGAUCUUAGUUGCCAGCAUUCAGUUGGGCACUCUAAGGUGACUGCCGGUGACAAAACCGGAGGAAGGUGGGGAUGACGUCAAAUCAUCAUGCCCCUUAUGACCUGGGCUACACACGUGCUACAAUGGAUGGUACAAAGGGCUGCGAGACCGCGAGGUUAAGCGAAUCCCAUAAAACCAUUCUCAGUUCGGAUUGCAGGCUGCAACUCGCCUGCAUGAAGCCGGAAUCGCUAGU